UAGGGAAUCUUCCGCAAUGGGCGAAAGCCUGACGGAGCAACGCCGCGUGAGUGAUGAAGGUCUUCGGAUCGUAAAACUCUGUUAUUAGGGAAGAACAAAUGUGUAAGUAACUAUGCACGUCUUGACGGUACCUAAUCAGAAAGCCACGGCUAACUACGUGCCAGCAGCCGCGGUAAUACGUAGGUGGCAAGCGUUAUCCGGAAUUAUUGGGCGUAAAGCGCGCGUAGGCGGUUUUUUAAGUCUGAUGUGAAAGCCCACGGCUCAACCGUGGAGGGUCAUUGGAUACUGGAAAACUUGAGUGCAGAAGAGGAAAGUGGAAUUCCAUGUGUAGCGGUGAAAUGCGCAGAGAUAUGGAGGAACACCAGUGGCGAAGGCGACUUUCUGGUCUGUAACUGACGCUGAUGUGCGAAAGCGUGGGGAUCAAACAGG
This 429-nucleotide ribosomal RNA is filed under the name Actinomycetes bacterium. Its description in RNAcentral is "Actinobacteria bacterium partial 16S ribosomal RNA". It matches the Rfam family "Bacterial small subunit ribosomal RNA", at positions 355 to 776 of the family's 1533-position model. The record is from RNAcentral. Lineage: Bacteria; Bacillati; Actinomycetota; Actinomycetes.